RNAcentral lists this ribosomal RNA (2263 nucleotides) under human gut metagenome. RNAcentral's name for it is "bacterial LSU rRNA". It matches the Rfam family "Bacterial large subunit ribosomal RNA", at positions 468 to 2820 of the family's 2925-position model. The record is from RNAcentral.
AAAUACUACCCAGUGACCGAUAGCGUAUAGUACUGUGAAGGAAAGGUGAAAAGCACCCCGGGAGGGGAGUGAAAAAGAACCUGAAACCCUGUGCCUACAAGCACCUAGAGCGCGUCAAAGCGUGAUAGGGUACUUUUUGUAGAACGGUCCGGCGAGCGAUUGUAUGCAGCAAGGUUAAGGACUUAAGGUCUGGAGCCGAAGCGAAAGCGAGUUUGAAAAGGGCGUUAAGUUGCAUAUAAUGGGCCCGAAACCGGGUGACCUACCCAUGGUCAGGUUGAAGUGGAAGUAAAAUUCCAUGGAGGACCGAACCGACCUCCGUUGAAAAGGCGGCGGAUGAACUGUGGGUAGCGGAGAAAUUCCAAUCGAACCCGGAGAUAGCUGGUUCUCCCCGAAAUAGUUUUAGGACUAGCCUCAAGUUAGAUACCUGGAGGUAAAGCACUGAAUAGCCUAGCGGCCGAGAGGUUAGCGAAGCUUAUCAAACUCAGAAUGCCAGAGUAUUGAUGCUUGGGAGUCAGACAGUGUCAGAUAAAUGUCAUUGUCAAAAGGGAAACAGCCCAGAUCUACAGCUAAGGUCCCAAAGUCAGGUUAAGUGGAAAACGAUGUGAAGAUACGUAGACAACCAGGAUGUUGGCUCAGAAGCAGCCACUCAUUCAAAGAGUGCGUAAUAGCUCACUGGUCGAGCGUCUUUGCGCGGAGAAUUUAACGGGGCUAAACCUGACACCGAAGCUUAGGCAAUCCAGUAAUGGAUUGGGUAGGGGAGCGUUGUAUACGCGGAGAAACAGUAGCGUGAGCGGCUGUGGAGUGUAUAGAAGUGAGAAUGCCGGAAUGAGUAGCGCGAAUGCAGUGAGAAUCUGCAUGGCCGAAAGCCUCAGGUUUUUGGAGGAAGGUUCGUCCGCUCCAAGUUAGUCGGGAGCUAAGGUGAGGCCGGAAGGCGUAGCCGAUGCACAGACGGUAGAGAUUCCGUCACCACCAAAAGAGUUAAGCACAGGGACACAUUUGAAGUCUCAGAGCCGGGUGUUGGUUCCGGUAGAGAUCGAGGGAAGUUAGUACCGAAGUCUGGGAUGGAAGAUGGCGAGAAAAGCUGUGUGUAUUUCUGAGGUGCCCGUACCGCAAACCGACACAGGUAGGUAGGAAGAAGAUUCUAAGGCCAACGGGAGAAGGGUUGUUAAGGAACUCGGCAAAUUGACCCCGUAACUUCGGGAGAAGGGGUGCUGCAGCAAUGCAGCCGCAGAGAAUCGGCCCAAGCAACUGUUUACCAAAAACACAGGUUUGUGCUAAAUCGAAAGAUGACGUAUACGAGCUGACGCCUGCCCGGUGCUGGAAGGUUAAGAGGAGAUGUGCAAGCAUUGAAUCGAAGCCCCAGUGAACGGCGGCCGUAACUAUAACGGUCCUAAGGUAGCGAAAUUCCUUGUCAGGUAAGUUCUGACCCGCAUGAAAGGCGUAAUGAUUUGGGCACUGUCUCAACAGCCCGCCCGGCGAAAUUGUAGUACCGGUGAAGAUGCCGGUUACCCGCGACAAGACGGAAAGACCCCAUGGAGCUUUACUGUAGCCUAAUAUUGGGUUUCGAUGUUGCAUGCACAGGAUAGAUGGGACACUGGGAAGCAGGUGCUUUGGCGCUUGUGGAGUGGCCGUUGGGAUACCAUCCUUGCGAUAUUGGAAUUCUAACCUGCGCCUUUGAAUCAAGGCGGGGGACAUUGUUAGGUGGGCAGUUUGACUGGGGCGGUCGCCUCCUAAAGAGUAACGGAGGCGUUCAAAGGUUCGCUCAGCUUGAACGGAAAUCAAGCAAAAGAGUGCAAACGCAGAAGCGAGCCUAACUGCGAGACUGACGGGUCGAGCAGUAACGAAAGUUGGAGUUAGUGAUCCGGUGGUAUGUGAGUGGAAAUGCCAUCGCUCAACGGAUAAAAGUUACCCUGGGGAUAACAGGCUGAUCUCCCCCAAGAGUCCACAUCGACGGGGAGGUUUGGCACCUCGAUGUCGGCUCAUCGCAUCCUGGGGCUGUAUUCGGUCCCAAGGGUUUGGCUGUUCGCCAAUUAAAGCGGUACGCGAGCUGGGUUCAGAACGUCGUGAGACAGUUCGGUCCCUAUCUGUCGUGGGCGCAGGAUAUUUGAUGGGAGCUGUUCCUAGUACGAGAGGACCGGAGCGGACGUACCUCUGGCGCACCAGUUGUUCUGCCAAGAGCAUAGCUGGGCAACUAUGUACGGAUCGGAUAAACGCUGAAAGCAUCUAAGCGUGAAGCCGACCCAAAGAUAAGAUAUCCCAUUGU